GUUCUCACUUCAGCAGAACAUUUACUGAAACUGAACAAUACAGAGAAGAUUAGUAUGACCCCUGUGCAAGGAACACAUGCAAAUUAGAGAGGCAUUCCUUAUUUUU
This 106-nucleotide small nuclear RNA is filed under the name Notamacropus eugenii (tammar wallaby). The record is from RNAcentral. Lineage: Eukaryota; Metazoa; Chordata; Mammalia; Diprotodontia; Macropodidae.